GCCUGGGUGGCUCAGUCGGUUGAGCGUCCGACUUCGGCUCAGGUCAUGAUCUCACAGUUUGUGGGUUCGAGCCCCGCGUCGGGCU
This 85-nucleotide transfer RNA is filed under the name Crocuta crocuta (spotted hyena). It matches the Rfam family "tRNA". Rfam says of the family: Transfer RNA (tRNA) molecules are approximately 80 nucleotides in length. RNAcentral also lists the same sequence under 2 other names. The record is from Rfam by way of RNAcentral. Lineage: Eukaryota; Metazoa; Chordata; Mammalia; Carnivora; Hyaenidae.